GAUGAACGCUGGCGGCGUGCUUAACACAUGCAAGUCGAACGGAAAGUCCACAGCUUGCUGUGGUACUCUAGUUGCGAACGGGUGAGUAACACUUGGGUUAUCUGCCCUUUACUUCGGGAUAAGCUUGUGAAACUGGGUCUAAUACCGGCUAGGAAUCACAUCUUGUUGUUUGGUUGGAAUGCUUUUGCGUUAUUGGAUGAGCUCGCGGCUUAUCAGCUUGUUGUUGGGGUAUUGUCUUACCAAGGCGUCGACGGGUAGCCGGCCUGAGAGGGUGUACGGCCAAAGUGGGACUGAGAUACGGCACAGACUCCUACGGGAGGGAGAAGUGGGGAAUAUAGCACAAUGGGAGCAAGCAUGAUGCAGCGAAGCCGCGUGGGGGAUGACGGCCAUCGGGUUGUAAAGUAAUUUCGUCAGGGACGAAGCGAAAGUGACGGUACCUGGAGAAGAAGCACCGGCUAACUACGUG
This 466-nucleotide ribosomal RNA is filed under the name uncultured bacterium. RNAcentral's name for it is "partial 16S ribosomal RNA". It matches the Rfam family "Bacterial small subunit ribosomal RNA", at positions 28 to 507 of the family's 1533-position model. The record is from RNAcentral.